UAUACACUUUUUAAUUCCAAAGCACUGAAUCAUUUCAUGACAGUUUGUAUUAUAUCAGCCAGUGAAAUUAUUGUGUGUGGGGUUAUCAAAUCUUCGUAACAGCUUUCAGUUUUGUGUUUUUCUUUCGUUGUUUUUGAUGCAUGAAGACUUUCACAGACAGAUGAAUGAUCGCAGGGAGAAGAGUAAAAUUGUGGUCUCAACUGUUUAACAUGCCUUUAGAGGGGUUGCAGUUACGCUGGUACUAGCAUUUGCGUGGUGUGAUGAUUUUUAUCGGGUGCCAAAUUGAAGGCCUAUUUAAGUACAAUCAAUACUUGGGAUAGCCCUUCAGCUAUCUGAUUUAUACUGUAGUUAUCAUUGUCCGCACCUAAUUGACCACCAUCUCAAAAUCUAUUAUAUGAACAAAGAGUAUUUCAAAGAAAUACUGUUUACAUAAUGCAAAAUCCAAAGGCACAUUUUUAGUUUUUGUUUUUUUGGGGUUUUUUUCAGGGUUCUGCUUGAUUGUCCAACCAGUCAAAAGAUUACAUCUGGAUUGCUAUCAUGGAAACACUUAAUUGAUUUUCAAGGAUGACAAAUGACACACAAAGCCCCAGUGCCAAGGAUUCUCCAAAUUGGUCCUAUCGAAUGUGACAGGAGGAAGAGCAUUAAGCAUCUGACAAGAUGAUAUCUAAGUUCAAUUUCCUACUCCUCACCUGAUUUAUACCUGCAGCAGAUCAUUUUCCUUUCUGUCAUAAAGACCUCUAUAAAUCAGUGGUGCUUAUGGAAGCACUACAGAACAGGGUCCCUGGAUUUGUUUCCCCUGUGUUUGCUAUUAGGAAGCCAUUACAGCCACAUUUUCCUCCUUCAAACAAAAAUGAUCAAAUCUAAUACUGGCAAGAUUAGAGAGAUAAAGAGAGAAAGGGCUGGCAGAGCCGUUCAACACAGUCCCCUAUCUAAACAAUAUGCUCUAAACUCAAUAAAAACAGGGCUUUUUGCUGGUGACACCAUUAUCCAUCUGUUUGGACAAAAUUGCUGUAUCAUGGUAUAAAUCUGCGAUACAAGUGACAUAUCCUCUAAAAUAAAAGGGAACAUUAACUGCUCUAUCUUCUAGAGGCCAUGGGACUAGCUGGCUAUAAGCUCAGUCAAGUGUGAUGGCAGUUAUACUGUGUUUUACUAGACUGCAGACAAUUAUACUUUGCUCCUAUCCCCUAAGAAGACAAACUGCCUUGGCUUCAACUGAAAUGAUUUCAAAUAGAUUUUCCAAAAUGUCUGUCGCCAGAUUGCUUCCAUACAUUAUUUCACUUAAAUGGAGAGAAAAAAAGAGGGAGCAAAUCCACAAAUCAAUCACAAAAGCCCACUUUACCAGAUGGAAAGACGGCUUUCAGUGCAUGUGUGUGUGUGUUUGUGUGAGUGGGUGUCUUGUGGACCCACAGAGAAGGACAGUUAUAGGAUGUGCAGUCCUGUCUCUGUUAUGUCUCACUCAUACUGAAGGAUAACAUAGUGUAUCUGUUUCCAGUGUUGAGCUGGCAGUGCUGUGAGAGUGAAAUAAUGUGCCCUAUAAUGAACUGACCCGCCUGAACUUUUAGAUUCUUAAACAAUUACUUAAUUGAAUUACCAAUCAUGUGUAAUCCAAUAGGAAAAAAAAACCCCUUUAAUGCAGUUAUCUCACACAUGACAGACAACUCACUGUUCACUGAGGAAGGUACUUGGUAUCCCAAUUUGUCUUUCAUAGUACUAAGCUUAUGCUACAGAAAAUAUAAAGGUUCUGUUUUUUAAGAGCAAUGUGUAAGAAAUGUAGACUUAUAUAUUGACAACAAUACUCAACGCAAACUUAAAUUGCUGCAUGAUCAAUGUAGAGCAAGCUCAACAUUCAGUUUAGCUUUAUUUGUACAAUUACAAGUGCACUUAGGAGACAAAAACGCUUAGUCUCAGCCAAUAGGAAAACUGGAUUUCAGCUCGGUGGCCCGUACACCCAAUCAGAGCACGACUUUCGAGGUGAAAGUCAAUAGUGUUAGCAUUAGCAACAAGUUUUUAGCUGUUAGGGAUUUAUGUUAUGUCAACAUUACAGAAUGCUGAAAGACAUAGCAUUUGAAAAAAUUUUCUAGUCGGGAAAAAAUGUAGCUCUGUUUUAAAAUUCCUAUCACUACUUUGCUAACAAUAGCAUAAGGAGCGAAAUGAGCUAACCUUUGGAGCAGCUCUUCAAAGACUGACAGGAGCAUUGUCAUCUUGGAUGAUACCACUCCAAUCAAGAUAGAAAUCAUUCAUCCCAGGAUAAAGACGAUCCAUGAAAACAACUUUCUAUUGAUUUGCAGUGCCUCUUUUCUCAACAAGGGAGGAUGAUUUUCAGAGCACAUCCUGUAAAAGCACCAGAAUAAAAGCAGCGUAUUAUGGAAAAGGGAAACUGAUUUCGAGUAAGUCACC
Haplochromis burtoni (Burton's mouthbrooder) is the source of this 2397-nucleotide long non-coding RNA. RefSeq lists it as uncharacterized. The transcript is spliced from 4 exons. Lineage: Eukaryota; Metazoa; Chordata; Actinopteri; Cichliformes; Cichlidae. The record is from RefSeq and is a predicted model, not a curated record.